RNAcentral lists this ribosomal RNA (439 nucleotides) under uncultured bacterium. Its description in RNAcentral is "bacterial SSU rRNA". It matches the Rfam family "Bacterial small subunit ribosomal RNA", at positions 28 to 486 of the family's 1533-position model. The record is from RNAcentral.
GAUGAACGCUGGCGGCGCGCCUAACACAUGCAAGUCGAACGGCACCCCACCUCGGUGGGAAGCGAGUGGCGAACGGCUGAGUAACACGUGGAGAACCCGCCCCCUCCUCCGGGAUAGCCUCGGGAAACCGUGGGUAAUACCGGAUGACGCCCGGACGACGCAUGUCGCCCGGGCCAAAGCCCAGACGGGAGGGGAUGGCUCCGCGGCCCAUCCGGUAGACGGCGGGGUGAAGGCCCACCGUGCCGACGACGGGUAGCCGGGUUGAGAGACCGACCGGCCAGAUUGGGACUGAGACACGGCCCAGACUCCUACGGGAGGCAGCAGUGGGGAAUCUUGCGCAAUGGGGGGAACCCUGACGCAGCGACGCCGCGUGCGGGACGAAGGCCCUAGGGUCGUAAACCGCUUUCAGCAGGGAUGAGACAAGACGGWACCKGMAGAA